Molecule: ribosomal RNA, 305 nt
Filed under: uncultured bacterium
Lineage: Bacteria
Description: bacterial SSU rRNA
Rfam family: Bacterial small subunit ribosomal RNA
Source: RNAcentral
UAUCCGGAAUUAUUGGGCGUAAAGGGCUCGUAGGCGGUUCGUCGCGUCCGGUGUGAAAGUCCAUCGCUUAACGGUGGAUCCGCGCCGGGUACGGGCGGGCUUGAGUGCGGUAGGGGAGACUGGAAUUCCCGGUGUAACGGUGGAAUGUGUAGAUAUCGGGAAGAACACCAAUGGCGAAGGCAGGUCUCUGGGCCGUCACUGACGCUGAGGAGCGAAAGCGUGGGGAGCGAACAGGAUUAGAUACCCUGGUAGUCCACGCCGCUAACACGGUGGAUGCUGGAUGUGGGGACCAUCCCUCGGUCUCC